RNAcentral lists this ribosomal RNA (460 nucleotides) under uncultured bacterium. Its description in RNAcentral is "partial 16S ribosomal RNA". It matches the Rfam family "Bacterial small subunit ribosomal RNA", at positions 338 to 795 of the family's 1533-position model. The record is from RNAcentral.
CCUACGGGUGGCAGCAGUGAGGAAUAUUGGUCAAUGGACGAGAGUCUGAACCAGCCAAGUAGCGUGAAGGAUGACUGCUCUAUGGGUUGUAAACUGCUUUUAUAUGGGAAUAAAAUGUUCCACGUGUAGGAUGUUGAAUGUAUCAUAUGAAUAAGGAUCGGCUAACUCCGUGCCAGCAGCCGCGGUAAUACGGAGGAUUCGAGCGUUAUCCGGAUUUAUUGGGUGUAAAGGGAGCGUAGGUGGAUGGUUAAGUCAGAUGUGAAAGUGUGCGGCUCAACCGUGAAAUUGCAUUUGAAACUGGCAGGCUAGAGUUCAGUAGAGGUAGGCGGAAUUCGUGGUGUAGCGGUGAAAUGCAUAGAUAUCACGAAGAACACCGAUUGCGAAGGCAGCUUACUGGACUGCAACUGACGCUGAGGCUCGAAAGUGUGGGUAUCAAACAGGAUUAGAUACCCGGGUAGUC